GACAGAGGGUGCAAGCGUUGUUCGGAAUCAUUGGGCGUAAAGGGCGCGUAGGCGGCUUUGUAAGUCGGAUGUGAAAGCCCAGGGCUUAACCUUGGAAGUGCAUCCGAAACUGCGAAACUUGAGUCCCGGAGAGGGUGGUGGAAUUCCCAGUGUAGAGGUGAAAUUCGUAGAUAUUGGGAGGAACACCGGUGGCGAAGGCGACCACCUGGACGGAGACUGACGCUGAGGCGCGAAAGCGUGGGGAGCAAACAGG
RNAcentral lists this ribosomal RNA (253 nucleotides) under uncultured bacterium. RNAcentral describes it as "partial 16S ribosomal RNA". It matches the Rfam family "Bacterial small subunit ribosomal RNA", at positions 524 to 776 of the family's 1533-position model. The record is from RNAcentral.